This 492-nucleotide ribosomal RNA is filed under the name uncultured bacterium. RNAcentral's name for it is "partial 16S ribosomal RNA". It matches the Rfam family "Bacterial small subunit ribosomal RNA", at positions 29 to 507 of the family's 1533-position model. The record is from RNAcentral.
AUUGAACGCUGGCGGCAUGCUUUACACAUGCAAGUCGAACGGUAACAGGCCUUCGGGUGCUGACGAGUGGCGCACGGGUGCGUAAUGCAUCGGAACGUACCCAGAGGUGGGGGAUAACGCAGCGAAAGCUGUGCUAAUACCGCAUGUGAUCUGAGGAUGAAAGCGGGGGACCGAGCAGCAAUGUUUGGCCUCGCGCCUUUGGAGCGGCCGAUGUCGGAUUAGCUAGUUGGUGGGGUAAAGGCCUACCAAGGCGACGAUCCGUAGCUGGUCUGAGAGGACGACCAGCCACACUGGGACUGAGACACGGCCCAGACUCCUACGGGAGGCAGCAGUGGGGAAUUUUGGGCAAUGGGCGCAAGCCUGAUCCAGCAAUGCCGCGUGCGGGAAGAAGGCCUUCGGGUUGUAAACCGCUUUUGGCAGGAACGAAACGGUGUCCGCUAAUACCGGGCGCUAAUGACGGUACCUGCAGAAUAAGCACCGGCUAACUACGUG